Molecule: transfer-messenger RNA, 368 nt
Filed under: Herpetosiphonaceae
Lineage: Bacteria; Bacillati; Chloroflexota; Chloroflexia; Herpetosiphonales
Also listed under: 1 other name
Description: LB3-1 sp016781505 Standard tmRNA
Rfam family: transfer-messenger RNA
About the family: Bacterial tmRNA, also known as 10Sa RNA or SsrA, is named for its dual tRNA and mRNA-like properties. Its role is to liberate the mRNA from a stalled ribosome.
Source: RNAcentral
GGGGAUGUUUGGCUUCGACGGGGAGAUGAGGUCGUCGGUUGCGAGUCGAGCCGCCCAGUCUCGUUAAAGGGGCAAAGCCAUUAACUGGCAUCAAGUCUGUUUUCGCUCAGCCUCGCGCUGUAGCGAUGGCUGCCUAAUUAGGUAGCUCGCUCCCCUAUCCUCAGCUCGAUGGGAUAGGCUGAGCGUCAGCAAGUCGAGCUGCUGCGAUCGUGAUCGCCUGCUAGCGGUCGCAAAAGAUAAGUGGGCUGGUCUUUCCAAUCGCCUGGUCUGUUGAGCGAGGAAAGACGAGAGCUAAUCAAUAGUCUACACUCGUAGAUAUCGCCGGUCAAACUUUCCGGACGCGGGUUCGAAUCCCGCCAUCUCCACCA